AUUGAACGCUGGCGGCAGGCCUAACACAUGCAAGUCGAACGGUAACAGGAAGAAGCUUUCUUCUUUCCUGACGAGUGUCGUACGGGUGAGUAAUGUCUGGGAAACUGCCUGAUGGAGGGGGAUAACUACUGGAAACUGUUGCUAAUACCGCCUAACGUCGCAAGACCAAAAAGCUGGACCUUUGCGCCUCUUGCCAUCGCAUGUGCCCAGAUGGGAUUAGCUAGUAGGUGGGGUAACGGCUCACCUAGGCGACGAUCUCUAGCUGGUCUGAGAGGAUGACCAGCCACACUGGAACUGAGACACGGUCCAGACUCCUACGGGAGGCAGCAGUGGGGAAUAUUGGACAAUGGGCGCAAGCCUGAUGCAGACAUGCCGCGUGUAUGAAGAAGGCCUUCGGGUUGUAAAGUACUUUCAGCGGGGAGGAAGGGAAGAAAGUUAAUACCUUGGCGCAUUGACGUUACCAACAGAAGAAGCACCGGCUAACUCCGUG
Molecule: ribosomal RNA, 490 nt
Filed under: uncultured bacterium
Lineage: Bacteria
Description: partial 16S ribosomal RNA
Rfam family: Bacterial small subunit ribosomal RNA
Source: RNAcentral